Molecule: ribosomal RNA, 492 nt
Filed under: uncultured bacterium
Lineage: Bacteria
Description: partial 16S ribosomal RNA
Rfam family: Bacterial small subunit ribosomal RNA
Source: RNAcentral
AGUGAACGCUGGCGGUAGGCCUAACACAUGCAAGUCGAACGGCAGCACAGUAAGAGCUUGCUCUUACGGGUGGCGAGUGGCGGACGGGUGGGGAAUACAUCGGAAUCUACUUUUUCGUGGGGGAUAACGUAGGGAAACUUACGCUAAUACCGCAUACGACCUACGGGUGAAAGCAGGGGAUCUUCGGACCUUGCGCGAUUGAAUGAGCCGAUGUCGGAUUAGCUAGUUGGCGGGGUAAAGGCCCACCAAGGCGACGAUCCGUAGCUGGUCUGAGAGGAUGAUCAGCCACACUGGAGCUGAGACACGGUCCAGACUCCUACGGGAGGCAGCAGUGGGGAAUAUUGGACAAUGGGCGCAAGCCUGAUCCAGCCAUACCGCGUGGGUGAAGAAGGCCUUCGGGUUGUAAAGCCCUUUUGUUGGGAAAGAAAAGCAGCAGGUUAAUACCCCGCUGUUCUGACGGUACCCAAAGAAUAAGCACCGGCUAACUUCGUG